This 592-nucleotide long non-coding RNA is filed under the name Manihot esculenta (cassava). Its description in RNAcentral is "long non-coding RNA (MESC_LNC007805)". The record is from RNAcentral. Lineage: Eukaryota; Viridiplantae; Streptophyta; Magnoliopsida; Malpighiales; Euphorbiaceae.
UUUCUUUAAUUGGUGAGAAAAUCGCUGAUGCGAACUUGGUAGUGCUAUUAAAAGCACUUUGUGCAUUUUCUAUUGUUGGGAAGAGAGACGUGUUGGGGCAAUCCGGCACGUCACGCUUACUAAUACGGCCCGACUGCCCCUAUACUUUGAUCGAUCGACCGUAUUUGCAUAGGGCCUUGCACAUCGCGUUGGGGUUGCGCCGCUAGAGUGAAGGGCUGGGUGCUGGAGAGGGGCUGUGUGGCAGCGACGCAAGAGAGAGAUUGUUGCACGCUGGAAGUCGGUGGAGUAUGGAGAUGGAGCUGCAACAAUGGAGAGAGGGGUUGCAGCUAGAUCGGAGUUGUUUUGCUCUGGAGGUGAGGCGAUGCGAUGCGGCGGCUCUAGAAGUCUGACGACACUGCUGGGUUGAAGGAACAGUGCUUCAUGCUGGUGCUAUGUUCUUAUCCAUGCAUUUGAUUUCAAUAAAUCCGAUGGAUGAGAGAAAGUUGGGGAGUAAGGAAAGGAAGAGAUAGUAGCAGCUAAGGUUUUGAAUUUUAAAAAGAAUAAAUAUAUGUGUAGAAUUAAUGAAGUAAAUAAAUUAAAAAGGAAAACAAUG